CGAACGCUGGCGGCGUGCUUAACACAUGCAAGUCGAACGAUGAAGAAGAGAAACGCGAACUUCGGUUCAAAUUUCACUUCGGAUUAGUGGCAGACGGGUGAGUAACGCGUGAGCAACCUACCUCUUACAAAGGGAUAGCCUCGGGAAACCGUGAUUAAUACCAUAUGACACAUUCAUAAGGCAUCUUAAGAAUGUUAAAGCUACGGCGGUAAGAGAUGGGCUCGCGUCCCAUUAGCUAGUUGGUGAGGUAACGGCCCACCAAGGCGACGAUGGGUAACCGGCCUGAGAGGGUGAACGGUCACAUUGGAACUGAGACACGGUCCAAACUCCUACGGGAGGCAGCAGUGGGGAAUAUUGCACAAUGGAGGGAACUCUGAUGCAGCGACGCCGCGUGAGCGAUGAAGGAAUUCGUUUCGUAAAGCUCUGUUCUAUGGGAAGAAAAGGACUGUACCAUAGGAGAAAGCCCCGGCUAAAUACGUG
Molecule: ribosomal RNA, 480 nt
Filed under: uncultured bacterium
Lineage: Bacteria
Description: partial 16S ribosomal RNA
Rfam family: Bacterial small subunit ribosomal RNA
Source: RNAcentral